AGGGUUUGAUCAUGGCUCAGGAUGAACGCUGGCGGCGUGCUUAACACAUGCAAGUCGAACGAACCUUCGGGUUAGUGGCGGACGGGUGAGUAACGCGUGAGAAUCUGCCCUCAGGAGGGGGAUAACGGUUGGAAACGACCGCUAAUACCCCAUAUGCCUAUUGGUGAAAUGAAUUUCGCCUGAGGAUGAGCUCGCGUCUGAUUAGCUAGUUGGUGUGGUAAUGGCUCACCAAGGCUUCGAUCAGUAGCUGGUCUGAGAGGAUGAUCAGCCACACUGGGACUGAGACACGGCCCAGACUCCUACGGGAGGCAGCAGUGGGGAAUUUUCCGCAAUGGGCGAAAGCCUGACGGAGCAACGCCGCGUGAGGGACGAAGGCCUCUGGGCUGUAAACCUCUUUUCUCAAGGAAGAAGAUAUGACGGUACUUGAGGAAUAAGCCACGGCUAAUUCCGUGCCAGCCGCCGCGGUAAUAC
RNAcentral lists this ribosomal RNA (471 nucleotides) under uncultured bacterium. RNAcentral's name for it is "bacterial SSU rRNA". It matches the Rfam family "Bacterial small subunit ribosomal RNA", at positions 8 to 526 of the family's 1533-position model. The record is from RNAcentral.